RNAcentral lists this ribosomal RNA (355 nucleotides) under uncultured Chloroflexota bacterium. RNAcentral describes it as "bacterial SSU rRNA". It matches the Rfam family "Bacterial small subunit ribosomal RNA", at positions 1008 to 1382 of the family's 1533-position model. The record is from RNAcentral. Lineage: Bacteria; Bacillati; Chloroflexota.
ACCUGUAUCCAAUCAGGAAUUUUGCACAGGUGCUGCAUGGCUGUCGUCAGCUCGUGCCGUGAGGUGUUAGGUUAAGUCCUGCAACGAGCGCAACCCUCGUCGCUAGUUAAUUUCUCUAGCGAUACUGCCCGUAAAACGUGGAGGAAGGUGGGGAUGACGUCAAGUCAGCAUGGCCUUUAUGUCUUGGGCUACACACACGCUACAAUGGAUGGUACAAAGGGUUGCCAAAGAGCGAUCUGGAGCUAAUCCCAAAAAACCAUCCUCAGUUCAGAUUGCAGGCUGCAAUGCCUGCAUGAAGUUGGAGUUGCUAGUAACCGCAGGUCAGCACACUGCGGUGAAUACGUUCUCGGGCCUU